AGUAAUGGCCGCCAUGCGCUGCCAGCUCAGCUUCAACCGUUCUUUUGCAGCGGCUCUUCGUGGAGUGAGGUUGUCCCGCGGUCAAUUUUUUAAAAUUAUUUUUAAAUAAUCCGGAAACAUGGAAAAAUCUGCGAGGAAAGGCCGACAAAAUUUUUCGCCGAGAUGACGCCAUGCUGAAAAAAAGAAGGCGGCUGAAAAAUUUUCGAGUGGAAUGGAGAAUGAAAGAAGAGUGAAACUGGAAGGAAUACAACAGUAAAUGAAUAUAUUCUUGGAUUUUGCUGCUGAAAUGUGAAAGCACGUGUGAAAAGGAAGGAAAAAAUAUUUGGUUGGAAGAAGAGGAGAUAACUGCGCAUUAAAAAAUAAGGAAGAAAAUGGAAGUGAACAGGAAGAAGAAGAAGUACUGGAGGAAAAAAUAUGUAGUCCCACUGGAAUAAGUGUGUAAUUAUGUAACUGGAGGAAGAAAUAUGUACAUAGUAAUAUAAAGAUAAUAAAUCAGAAAUAUUAAAAAGUGAGUGAAAAAAGUAAAAAAAAAUGGAGGCAAAAGGAGAGAACAUUUAAAGUGAGUGAAAAAAUCUGAACUGGAAUGGAGGCAUAAGGCAAAAGGAGAGAGAGAAAAAAUGGAGAUGAAAAACGAGACAAAAUGGAGAUAGAGGCGAGAACAAAAUGGAGACGAGAAGAGGCCGCCAAAGAAAUGGAACUGGAAAUCGAAGAAAUGGAGAGAAGAAAUAAUGUUGCCGAGCUGGAGCAACAUGUUGCGGAAACCGAGGAUCAUUUGUUGCUAGAGGAAGAGGAAGACUGCCCCAAUUACGCCGGAAAAAUGAAUGGAGGAUAAGGAAUAAGGAAUAUUUCAUGGAUUUAAAAAUCGUUAAUUUUAUUAAACGUAAAUUGGAGUGGAAUCAAUUUGUAUGGAUAUUCAUAUCUAAAUUGUGGGCGGUGGAGGAGGAGGAGGAGGAAAAGGAGGCGUGCCCUGCAACGGAAAACCCGAAAACUGAAAAUCAGCCAAACGGAAAAACAAAACACGGAAUGGAUUAUGAUCUGGACCCAAAUCGGAUGUACACGAAACCUCAUCAUCCCUGAGGAGGAUAAUCAACAGGAGCCUUGAUUAUGAAAACGUAAUUGGAUUCAGGAUACCCAGCCAGGAUCCAGGAUACAGGAUUCAGGAUCCAGGAUGCAGGACAUAAAUAUAUAAUAAAUCGCGGCCUGACCCCCAAGGACCUCCAAAAUGAAUAUGUGGACCACAACAUCCAACGGAUCCAAACGGAUCCAAAGGACUUCCACAGGUGGAAAGGGAAAUGCAAUUGGAGAGAGCCUGGCAGAAGAAAACUUUCCACAAACUCCAAAAGUUGGCAGAAAUCUACUUACACUCGGCCAUCCAGCUCGGCUCUUGGAAAGUUAUGAUCGCAGAAUAAGUUAUAAAAUUUUAAAUUAUUUAAGGCAUAAACUUACCAACAAAUAUUUCAAAAAUCAAAUAAAUGGAAUGAAAACAACAAGUGCCUUAAACUGGCUUUCAAUUCUUACGUAUAUUUAUGCUGUCUUGUUCAAUUUAUAAUUUCAGUUUUAAUUCUAUUUACAAAUGAACUCCAAAUGGUUUAUUUUUUCUUUGUUUUUUUUUUUUUUUGACAUUAAAGAUUUAGUUUCUGGGGGAAUUCUACGAGA
Long non-coding RNA from Drosophila ananassae, 1656 nucleotides. RefSeq lists it as uncharacterized. The record is from RefSeq and is a predicted model, not a curated record. NCBI's taxonomy places the organism in Eukaryota, Metazoa, Arthropoda, Insecta, Diptera, Drosophilidae. The transcript has 8 exons.